AUUGAACGCUGGCGGCAGGCCUAACACAUGCAAGUCGAACGAGUGGCGGACUGGUGAGUAAUGUCUGGGAAACUGCCUGAUGGAGGGGGAUAACUACUGGAAACGGUAGCUAAUACCGCAUACCAUCAGAUGUACACAUAUGGGAUUAGCUUGUGGGUGGUGUAACGGCUCACCAAGGCGCCGAUCCCUAGCUGGUCUGAGAUGAUGACCAGCCACACUGGAACUGAGCCACGGUCCAGACUCCUACGGGAGGCAGCAGUGGGGAAUAGUGCACAAGUGGCGCAAGCCUGAUGCAGCCAUGCCGCGUGUAUGAAGGAGGCCUUCGGGUUGUAAAGUACUUUCAGCGGGGAGGCGUUACCCGCAGAAGAAGCACCGGCUAACUCCGUGCCAGCAGCCGCGGUAAUUC
Molecule: ribosomal RNA, 406 nt
Filed under: uncultured bacterium
Lineage: Bacteria
Description: partial 16S ribosomal RNA
Rfam family: Bacterial small subunit ribosomal RNA
Source: RNAcentral